AUUAGUGUUUCUCAGGGAUGAGCUCCUAAUUGAAUAUCCAAUACCAAGUGGUCAGUCCUGAAAUCAGGACUUUCCUAUACACUCUGAAAACAGAUGCUUCAUUCUUAUUAUUUACAUUAAUAGGAUGGCAAUGUUCCACGAGGACACAGCUACAAGCAGCCAGCUUGACUGAGUUUUAGCUUUUAGAAUUCUCUCACCUCUGGGCUGAAAAGCUUGUGUCAUCACAAGGCAUUUUCUUGUCUAGUACCUGCCCUUGCUGUUUGCUCUUGUUAUCCUAGCUGAGUGAGUCUGGGGACACAGGUCUGUGAUCCCAGCUACUUGGGAUGUUGAGGCAGGAGGACACAAGCUCAAAGCCAGCCUGGGCAAUUUCCUGAGACUCUACCUCAAAAGAAAAGAACAUCUCUGCAUGAGUGCCGUGGACUUUAAUUAGACCAGAGUUGUGAUGGCUAAUCUUGGUUGUCAGCCUGACCCUUUGGGAAGAAUGAACCCCAGCUGCAGAACUGACUCCCUCCGCUUGGCCUUUCCUGCCUUGCGCUCCUGUGGCGACUUUUCACAGUGAUGGAGCGUGGCCUGUGAGCCGAAGAAACCCUUUCUCCUCUGGUCGCUUUUGGUCACGGUGCUUGCGGCAGCAACCGAGAAACAAACUAACACAAAGAUUGGUACCUGGAAUGUGAAGAACCUCCAUGUUGCAUUUUUGGAGGGUCAUGGAAGGUGUUUUUGAGCUUUGGACUGGAAAAGUCAUCGAGCACAUAGACCUUAGUGUGCUGUUCUUUGGGAACUUGGAAGAUGAGCGUGUUGAGAGAGAUGCAUUUGGUGGAGGUCUGGGUUGUGAAGUUUCAGAUAAAAGCAAAGACCCUAGCAGGGCCAUCUGUAUAAUAUAUUCGAAUUAAGA
This is a long non-coding RNA of Arvicola amphibius (Eurasian water vole), 892 nucleotides long. RefSeq lists it as uncharacterized. NCBI's taxonomy places the organism in Eukaryota, Metazoa, Chordata, Mammalia, Rodentia, Cricetidae. The record is from RefSeq and is a predicted model, not a curated record. The transcript is spliced from 3 exons.